UACGUAGGGUGCAAGCGUUGUCCGGAAUUAUUGGGCGUAAAGAGCUCGUAGGCGGUUUGUCGCGUCGAAUGUGAAAACCCGGGGCUCAACCCCGGGCCUGCAUUCGAUACGGGCAGACUAGAGUUCGGUAGGGGAGUCUGGAAUUCCUGGUGUAGCGGUGAAAUGCGCAGAUAUCAGGAGGAACACCGGUGGCGAAGGCGGGUCUCUGGGCCGAUACUGACGCUGGAGGAGCGAAAGCGUGGGGAGCGAACAGG
RNAcentral lists this ribosomal RNA (254 nucleotides) under uncultured bacterium. Its description in RNAcentral is "partial 16S ribosomal RNA". It matches the Rfam family "Bacterial small subunit ribosomal RNA", at positions 524 to 776 of the family's 1533-position model. The record is from RNAcentral.